This 441-nucleotide ribosomal RNA is filed under the name uncultured bacterium. RNAcentral describes it as "bacterial SSU rRNA". It matches the Rfam family "Bacterial small subunit ribosomal RNA", at positions 96 to 518 of the family's 1533-position model. The record is from RNAcentral.
AGGCGUACGGGUGAGUAACACGUAGGUAACCUACCUUUAAGACUGGGAUACCCAGACGAAAGUUUGGCUAAUACCGGAGUAACAACAUUUGAGACAUCUCUUUGUUUGAAAGGCGCUGCAAGGCGCCACUUUUAGAUGGAACCUGCGUCGCAGUUAGCUAGUUGGUGAGAUAAAAGCCCACCAAGGCUGGGAUGCCGUAAGCCGAUCUGAGAGGAUGACCGGCCACAAUGGGGGCUGAGACACGGCCCAUACUCCUACGGGAGGCAGCAGUAGGGAGUUUUCGGCAAUGGGGGAAACCCUGACCGAGCAACACCGCGUGAGUGAUGAAGGUCUUCGGAUCGUAAAGCUCUGUUACGAGGGACGAAUGAUCGCUUUAGGAAAUGAGAGCGGUUUGACGGUACCUCGCCAGAAAGCGACGGCUAACUACGUGCCAGCCGCAGC